UGGUCUCUCAUUAUGCUCUAACAGAAGAGUCAUGUUCUAAGCAAAUCUUUUAUAAUAAGUAGCAUGUUGAACUGACUCAGAGUGCCUGAGGUUUUCUUUCUUUCUUUCUUUUUUAAAUUUAGAGGCAGAUUUGGAAUUAAAAAUACCUUGAUCAGAAUCCUCUUGCUAACCAGCCACAGUGGCCCAUGCCUGUAGUCCCAGUGGCCCGAGAAGCUGAGGCAGGGGGCUGUCNAAAAGAUUGGAGAUGUGGCUCAGUGGUUGAGUGUCCCUGGGUUCAAUCUCUGGUAUCUUCCUACCAAAACAAACAAAAAAAUCCUAUUGUUUCCUCCUAAUUCAGUAUGUUUCCAUGAAGGCAGCAGGCAUGGUGUCUAGUUCUACUCUGACAUUUAUUGGCCAUCCAACUUUGCACAAGGUAUUGUCUCCGUUGUAAAGUGGCCUAAUGAUACUACUGCGUAACAUUGAGCAGAAAUACGAAUUUAAAUAUAUCUACACACCAUGCCUGGUCUACAGCAGGUACUAGAGAAAUGGUAACCAUUUUUAUUUAAGGUGACAGUUUUAGUCAUCUUUUUUGUUGCUAUGACUAAAAGACCUGACAAGAACAAUUGAGAGGAGGACAAGUUUAUCUUGGCUCAUGGUUUCAGAGGUUCACUCCAUGGUCAGCCACCUCCAUAGCUCUGGGCCUAAGGUGAGGCAGAACAUCAUGGCGGAAGGGUGUGGGAGGUAUAUGGGGACAUGACAACUAGGAAGCAGAAAGACAGACAGCUUAGUUCACUAGAGACAAAAUAUAAACCCCAAAGUGACCCCCCUGACUACUUACUCUAGCCACACCCUACCUGACUCCAGUUACCAGCUAUUGAUCCAGAUCAGUGGAUUAAUCCACUGAUUAGUUAAAGCUCUCAUAACACAAUAAUUUCUCCUCUAAAUAUUCUUGCGUUGUUUCACACAUGAGCUUUUGGGGGACCCUUGGUAUCUAAACCAUAAUAGUGACUAACAGAUUGAUUUCUUGAGGUUCACUAUGCUCUCUUCCGAUGACAGAGGGUAACUGUGACUUCAUAGGAAAGGAACUGGGUUAGGCUGUUUUGUCCAGACAACAGGAAGCAAACUCGGAGAGUCUAUAGACCAGCUCUCCCCAGACCUCUGAGAACCAUCUCGGGGGUAUUGCUGAGCACAAGAGUCCAAGUCAGUGAAAAUCCUGGGGGCAUGAGGAAGCCAUAUUUUGAAUUCUAUCUUGUUCUAUCCUGGAAUUGGUAGGUUCUGUUUAAAAGUUCCAAUCCUGACUUUCCUACGGGUUCCUUCUUUAAAUGUCAGGCACAUUAAACUAAAAGAAUAAUCUUUCAUUUAUUCAGUCCAAAUUCAGCCCUUUUUGCUAUUGUUGUUUGGAAGCAGCAAUUAAUUUUGAAGGAUGAAAGGAUUGUGUGGUUAGAAAAGACGAUUGGGGAAAACAGUGUUUUUCAAGAGUAUCUGUACACAUUUGCUCUUGAAUAAACUGAACUCACUAAAUAAAUUAGAUCCCACGAAAGCAUAAUUUUCUAAUUCAUCAACUAAUUAAUCACGGAUGCAAUGACUGAGCCCGAAUGAUUUUUUUUUAC
This 1589-nucleotide long non-coding RNA is filed under the name Marmota monax (woodchuck). Lineage: Eukaryota; Metazoa; Chordata; Mammalia; Rodentia; Sciuridae. The record is from RNAcentral.